Long non-coding RNA from Heterocephalus glaber (naked mole-rat), 2107 nucleotides. The record is from Ensembl. Lineage: Eukaryota; Metazoa; Chordata; Mammalia; Rodentia; Bathyergidae.
CCUGCCCCUUCCCGCUCAAGGUGGGCGGGCGGGCUGUGUGGGCACGCGCAGUCGCCACGUCUCGCCCUCCGGGUCGGGUCCGGGUCAAGUCCCGGUCCGGUUCCGCUCCGGGUGCGGAGGGUGGCUCGGCCUUCCCUGAGGAAGCGGCUGACAGGCUUUCCGGAGCUAAUGAGAGACCUCUGACUAGGGCGAGUUUCGGCACGCACCACCUAGCAGCCGCCCCGCUGCCAUGCCUUCGUAACCUGGAAGCCGAAUUUCCGAAAUCGCCUUCACUCAGCAGUGAGUUAAUUUCUAGUAACCCCACCAAGAAAAGGAAGAAAUUAAAAAGUGCUACCUGUGAUUAUAAACAGAUGCAUGAUGAGUCAAGAAAGUCAAGGAAAAUCUACUGCCAUUUUACUUGAGCAAUAGUACACAUUCAUAAGGUUCUAUUAUCAGACGUCAUGGUAUAGAGUGCCUGCUGCUUGGAAGCCCUUGCUUUGGAAGAUGCAGCUGCUCUGUGCUUUCCUGGCUGUGCUCCCUCCAGGUGCCAGGGUCAGGGCUGACUGUCCUGGAAGAUGUAGCUGUGAGUCCCCACAGUCGGUGCAAUGCUACAGAGUCACCAAGGUGCCAUCGGGUAUCCCUGCCACCACCACGAGGCUCUACAUCAGCCUCAGCAAGAUCCAGCACCUCCAGCUAACUGGGCCCUUCUCUACUCUGGUCCUGUGGUUUGGUUUUGUGAGGGAGGGUGUGGGCAAGCGAUUUAAAUAAUCAUAACUCUCAAGAGCUGUUCGCAGAGGGCAGCCGUGCCACCUGCUUGCUGUGUGCUACUGAGAUGGUGUAUGCCCCUGAGUUUCUCUUUAGGGAAGCACCUCCAUGUCAGGGUCUACAGUUAAUGAUUUAAAAUCUCAACAGUUUUUAAAACUGUUGUUGCAAAGUAAAAGUAAGAAAGAUCUCUUCCUUAACAACAAAAACAAAAAAGCCCACAUGGCCAUUUUAUGUCCCCAGUAUUAAGUUCUUUCAAGGGAAAAAAGCUUUAUUUUAUGCCAUAAUGGCAGAUGAUAAAGCAUUGUAAGACCAUCAAGAUGAACCUACUGUUCUCACAGAAACGCACAGGCUAGCCAGGUACUGCUGUCUCUGUGGAAACCGACAGAGGAAAUGCGUGGGUUUUUUCUGUUGUGCCAGAUUACUGGCAGUUCUCACUUUGUGUGCUUUUAAUUCUGACUAUUUUUAUGCUCACCGAUCCUGAGGACUCUGGAAAGCGUUCGGUAGAUUUUUCUGAGUUUUACAGCAUCAAGAAACUUACACCUGAUCUUUGCUGUUUUGAAAGGUGUUUGGGACUAAGGUUCUCAGCCUGAUUCCUCACUAACUACAGAGAUGUGACCAUCUCAGACAAGCUGUUAAAAAACGUUUCUGGGCCGCAUUUACUCUGAUGUGAGAAGACUGCACUGGAUAAGGUGACUGCAGGGCUCUCCUCACAGAAGGUUCAGUGGCUCUCAUUUUGCCUUCCUGUUGCCUGUUUCUCCCUCACAGAUCCAGGUCCAACCUUUCCCCUUGUUUUAGAUUCGACCGACCGGCUCCCCACUAGCAUUCUUCACAUUGAUGUGUGAGAAGGAUCUCCAAACAACGGGUUCCAAACUGAAUUCAGUCUCCCCCCUCACUUGUGGUUUGGGGGCCUGGGUUCUUUCACUUAGCAUACUCAGUGUUUGGCCUGGUCAUACAGGGUCCAAACUUUCUUUUAAAGGCGGAAUGUCCUUAUCACUGUGUUUCCCUGAAGAUAAGGCCUAUCUAGAGAUCAAACAUGCCAGCCCCACUCCACCUGUCCUUGCCUUCCUUGCCAUGACAGAGGAGCCACAGAGCAAGAGAACACUGGCCGUCACCAUGGAACAACCAGCUGUUGAUUUCAGCGGGAGUUUAUUUUCUGAGUAGGUCUUAUUUUCAAGAAAACAUGCAUACCACAUGUGUGUUCAUGCAUCAGUUUAUGGACGUUUGGGUUGUUUCUUCUUUUUGGCUAUUAUGAAUGACAUGGUUAUGGAUAUUCAUGUUUCAAAUACAACGUUUUUGUUGUUGUUGUUUUUGGUGUUUUGAGACAGUCUCAUUUUGUUGUGCAGGCUGGCCUUGAACUUGCAGC